GGUUAAGCGACUAAGCGUACACGGUGGAUGCCCUGGCAGUCAGAGGCGAUGAAGGACGUGCUAAUCUGCGAUAAGCGUCGGUAAGGUGAUAUGAACCGUUAUAACCGGCGAUUUCCGAAUGGGGAAACCCAGUGUGUUUCGACACACUAUCAUUAACUGAAUCCAUAGGUUAAUGAGGCGAACCGGGGGAACUGAAACAUCUAAGUACCCCGAGGAAAAGAAAUCAACCGAGAUUCCCCCAGUAGCGGCGAGCGAACGGGGAGCAGCCCAGAGCCUGAAUCAGUGUGUGUGUUAGUGGAAGCGUCUGGAAAGGCGCGCGAUACAGGGUGACAGCCCCGUACACAAAAAUGCACAUACUGUGAGCUCGAUGAGUAGGGCGGGACACGUGGUAUCCUGUCUGAAUAUGGGGGGACCAUCCUCCAAGGCUAAAUACUCCUGACUGACCGAUAGUGAACCAGUACCGUGAGGGAAAGGCGAAAAGAACCCCGGCGAGGGGAGUGAAAAAGAACCUGAAACCGUGUACGUACAAGCAGUGGGAGCCUCUUAAUGGGGUGACUGCGUACCUUUUGUAUAAUGGGUCAGCGACUUAUAUUCUGUAGCAAGGUUAACCGAAUAGGGGAGCCGAAGGGAAACCGAGUCUUAACUGGGCGUUAAGUUGCAGGGUAUAGACCCGAAACCCGGUGAUCUAGCCAUGGGCAGGUUGAAGGUUGGGUAACACUAACUGGAGGACCGAACCGACUAAUGUUGAAAAAUUAGCGGAUGACUUGUGGCUGGGGGUGAAAGGCCAAUCAAACCGGGAGAUAGCUGGUUCUCCCCGAAAGCUAUUUAGGUAGCGCCUCGUGAAUUCAUCUCCGGGGGUAGAGCACUGUUUCGGCAAGGGGGUCAUCCCGACUUACCAACUCGAUGCAAACUGCGAAUACCGGAGAAUGUUAUCACGGGAGACACACGGCGGGUGCUAACGUCCGUCGUGAAGAGGGAAACAACCCAGACCGCCAGCUAAGGUCCCAAAGUCAUGGUUAAGUGGGAAACGAUGUGGGAAGGCCCAGACAGCCAGGAUGUUGGCUUAGAAGCAGCCAUCAUUUAAAGAAAGCGUAAUAGCUCACUGGUCGAGUCGGCCUGCGCGGAAGAUGUAACGGGGCUAAACCAUGCACCGAAGCUGCGGCAGCGACACUGUGUGUUGUUGGGUAGGGGAGCGUUCUGUAAGCCUGUGAAGGUGUACUGUGAGGUAUGCUGGAGGUAUCAGAAGUGCGAAUGCUGACAUAAGUAACGAUAAAGCGGGUGAAAAGCCCGCUCGCCGGAAGACCAAGGGUUCCUGUCCAACGUUAAUCGGGGCAGGGUGAGUCGACCCCUAAGGCGAGGCCGAAAGGCGUAGUCGAUGGGAAACAGGUUAAUAUUCCUGUACUUGGUGUUACUGCGAAGGGGGGACGGAGAAGGCUAUGUUGGCCGGGCGACGGUUGUCCCGGUUUAAGCGUGUAGGCUGGUUUUCCAGGCAAAUCCGGAAAAUCAAGGCUGAGGCGUGAUGACGAGGCACUACGGUGCUGAAGCAACAAAUGCCCUGCUUCCAGGAAAAGCCUCUAAGCAUCAGGUAACAUCAAAUCGUACCCCAAACCGACACAGGUGGUCAGGUAGAGAAUACCAAGGCGCUUGAGAGAACUCGGGUGAAGGAACUAGGCAAAAUGGUGCCGUAACUUCGGGAGAAGGCACGCUGAUAUGUAGGUGAAGUCCCUUGCGGAUGGAGCUGAAAUCAGUCGAAGAUACCAGCUGGCUGCAACUGUUUAUUAAAAACACAGCACUGUGCAAACACGAAAGUGGACGUAUACGGUGUGACGCCUGCCCGGUGCCGGAAGGUUAAUUGAUGGGGUUAGCGGUAACGCGAAGCUCUUGAUCGAAGCCCCGGUAAACGGCGGCCGUAACUAUAACGGUCCUAAGGUAGCGAAAUUCCUUGUCGGGUAAGUUCCGACCUGCACGAAUGGCGUAAUGAUGGCCAGGCUGUCUCCACCCGAGACUCAGUGAAAUUGAACUCGCUGUGAAGAUGCAGUGUACCCGCGGCAAGACGGAAAGACCCCGUGAACCUUUACUAUAGCUUGACACUGAACAUUGAGCCUUGAUGUGUAGGAUAGGUGGGAGGCUUUGAAGUGUGGACGCCAGUCUGCAUGGAGCCGGCCUUGAAAUACCACCCUUUAAUGUUUGAUGUUCUAACGUUGGCCCCUGAUCGGGGUUGCGGACAGUGUCUGGUGGGUAGUUUGACUGGGGCGGUCUCCUCCUAAAGAGUAACGGAGGAGCACGAAGGUUGGCUAAUCCUGGUCGGACAUCAGGAGGUUAGUGCAAUGGCAUAAGCCAGCUUGACUGCGAGCGUGACGGCGCGAGCAGGUGCGAAAGCAGGUCAUAGUGAUCCGGUGGUUCUGAAUGGAAGGGCCAUCGCUCAACGGAUAAAAGGUACUCCGGGGAUAACAGGCUGAUACCGCCCAAGAGUUCAUAUCGACGGCGGUGUUUGGCACCUCGAUGUCGGCUCAUCACAUCCUGGGGCUGAAGUAGGUCCCAAGGGUAUGGCUGUUCGCCAUUUAAAGUGGUACGCGAGCUGGGUUUAGAACGUCGUGAGACAGUUCGGUCCCUAUCUGCCGUGGGCGCUGGAGAACUGAGGGGGGCUGCUCCUAGUACGAGAGGACCGGAGUGGACGCAUCACUGGUGUUCGGGUUGUCAUGCCAAUGGCACUGCCCGGUAGCUAAAUGCGGAAGAGAUAAGUGCUGAAAGCAUCUAAGCACGAAACUUGCCCCGAGAUGAGUUCUCCCUGACUCCUUGAGAGUCCUGAAGGAACGUUGAAGACGACGACGUUGAUAGGCCGGGUGUGUAAGCGCAGCGAUGCGUUGAGCUAACCGGUACUAAUGAACCGUGAGGCUUAACCUU
This 2904-nucleotide ribosomal RNA is filed under the name Escherichia coli. Its description in RNAcentral is "23S ribosomal RNA". It matches the Rfam family "Bacterial large subunit ribosomal RNA". Lineage: Bacteria; Pseudomonadati; Pseudomonadota; Gammaproteobacteria; Enterobacterales; Enterobacteriaceae. The record is from RNAcentral.